GCUCAUGCGGGAUCUGCUCGGUGUGCGUUGGCCGCCUGCGAGAUGCGAGUGACUUUAAACUGCAAGUGCAGCAAACUCAGGUGGUGCUGCUUGCACAGCUGGAGGCAGACGUGCAUGUUAAAGAAGAAGAAUCAGUAGUGAAGUCGGAGACGGAGCAUGGGGAUGUCACCGUUGACGAACCUGCGUCGUCUUCACAUGAAGAUCCCCCAGUCAAGAGAGAGAUAGAUGGUGAAGACGGGACGAUUGAUGAAGAGGGACAGGAAACCUUGCG
Molecule: long non-coding RNA, 271 nt
Organism: Cydia fagiglandana
Lineage: Eukaryota; Metazoa; Arthropoda; Insecta; Lepidoptera; Tortricidae
Exons: 3
Source: RefSeq, a predicted model, not a curated record